AUGUGUAAAUACUGGUUCCAGCAAAAAUCUCAGAAACAACAACUCUCCAUCAAAAUCAAUUGUAGCAAAAAAUACAGCCGGUUCCAGCAACAAUUUACUCUGCUUCUAGCAAAAAUCCUAGAAACAAUAACUCUCUGUCAAAAGUCUAUUGCAGCAAAAAACAUUGUUGACUCCAGCAACAAUUUCCUCGGUUUCCAGCAAAAAUCCCAUAACACCAAAAACUCCAACAAAUUUGAUUGUAGCAAAAAGACAAACGGUUCCAGCAACAAAUUACUUUGGUUCCAGCAAAAUCCCACAAAAUAG
Molecule: ribosomal RNA, 303 nt
Filed under: Triticum aestivum (bread wheat)
Lineage: Eukaryota; Viridiplantae; Streptophyta; Magnoliopsida; Poales; Poaceae
Description: partial small subunit ribosomal RNA
Source: RNAcentral